RNAcentral lists this long non-coding RNA (382 nucleotides) under Callithrix jacchus (white-tufted-ear marmoset). RNAcentral's name for it is "lncRNA (ENSCJAG00000059148.2)". Lineage: Eukaryota; Metazoa; Chordata; Mammalia; Primates; Cebidae. The record is from RNAcentral.
CAACAACAACAACUGCCUUGAGGCUGUGGGCGAAAGUGCUGAUUUGUCUUCCAACACACUGGAAGUAUAAAAGUGGCUAUAAAAAGAACAAGAGAAAUGGCAACAUCUGCUGGAGUAGCCAAAAUUGGGAAGAAGGUAUGGUGAGACACUCAAGCUGGCAGAGUGAAGAAUGCAGGAACCAGAACAGUCAAGGACUGGAGGUCAAGAGAAGAAUGCAUUUGCCAGACCAAUAGCUGCAUAUCAAGUGCCAGAGGAUGUGGUAAAUUGCUCAAGCAAUGAAACCGGUUCUGGUACCGGAGCUGCAAUUGGCAUCACCACCUGGGACUUUGCCAACAAUGUUGAACAGAGUGGUCUAAACAUCUCAUUUGGCAGUCUUCUGUAG